This 413-nucleotide ribosomal RNA is filed under the name uncultured Actinomycetes bacterium. RNAcentral describes it as "bacterial SSU rRNA". It matches the Rfam family "Bacterial small subunit ribosomal RNA", at positions 233 to 658 of the family's 1533-position model. Lineage: Bacteria; Bacillati; Actinomycetota; Actinomycetes. The record is from RNAcentral.
GCGGCCUAUCAGCUUGUUGGUGAGGUAAUGGCUCACCAAGGCGACGACGGGUAGCCGGCCUGAGAGGGCGACCGGCCACACUGGGACUGAGACACGGCCCAGACUCCUACGGGAGGCAGCAGUGGGGAAUAUUGGGCAAUGGAGGAAACUCUGACCCAGCGACGCCGCGUGCGGGAUGAAGGCCUUCGGGUUGUAAACCGCUUUCAGCAGGGAAGAAGCGAAAGUGACGGUACCUGCAGAAGAAGCACCGGCUAACUAUGUGCCAGCAGCCGCGGUAAUACAUAGGGUGCAAGCGUUGUCCGGAAUUAUUGGGCGUAAAGAGCUCGUAGGUGGUUCGUCACGUCGGAUGUGAAACUCUGGGGCUUAACCCCCGACCUGCAUUCGAUACGGNCGACCUUGAUUAUGGUAGGGGA